RNAcentral lists this ribosomal RNA (321 nucleotides) under uncultured bacterium. RNAcentral's name for it is "bacterial SSU rRNA". It matches the Rfam family "Bacterial small subunit ribosomal RNA", at positions 29 to 376 of the family's 1533-position model. The record is from RNAcentral.
AACGAACGCUGGCGGCAUGCCUAACACAUGCAAGUCGAACGAGACCUUCGGGUCUAGUGGCGCACGGGUGCGUAACACGUGGGAAUUUGCCUCGGGGUAUGGAAUAACUCAGGGAAACUUGAGCUAAUACCAUAUAAUGUCUUCGGACCAAAGAUUUAUCGCCCUGAGAUAAGCCCGCGUAGGAUUAGCUAGUUGGUGGGGUAAAGGCUCACCAAGGCGACGAUCCUUAGCUGGUCUGAGAGGAUGAUCAGCCACACUGGGACUGAGACACGGCCCAGACUCCUACGGGAGGCAGCAGUGGGGAAUAUUGGACAAAUGGGC